UACGGGGGGGGCAAGCGUUGUUCGGAAUUACUGGGCGUGAAGGGCUCGUAGGCGGCCAACUAAGUCAGACGUGAAAUCCCUCGGCUUAACCGGGGAACUGCGUCUGAUACUGGAUGGCUUGAGUUUGGGAGGGGGAUGCGGAAUUCCAGGUGUAGAGGUGAAAUUCGUAGAUAUUCGGAAGAACACCAGUGGCGAAGGCGGCUCACUGGCCCGGUACUGACGCUGAGGUGCGAAAGCGUGGGGAGCAAACAGG
Molecule: ribosomal RNA, 253 nt
Filed under: uncultured bacterium
Lineage: Bacteria
Description: partial 16S ribosomal RNA
Rfam family: Bacterial small subunit ribosomal RNA
Source: RNAcentral